Molecule: regulatory RNA element, 109 nt
Rfam family: epsC RNA
Source: Rfam
UGGUGAUGUCUCCCUACCGUUAUCGAUGGAGGCACUCGGUCAUGCUGUGGGUCUAGGACCUUAGACGCAAGUCGUCAGUAGGAUGAUGUGAGGACGGGUUAGAUGCCCA